This 1343-nucleotide ribosomal RNA is filed under the name uncultured bacterium. Its description in RNAcentral is "16S ribosomal RNA". It matches the Rfam family "Bacterial small subunit ribosomal RNA", at positions 28 to 1378 of the family's 1533-position model. The record is from RNAcentral.
GACGAACGCUGGCGGCGUGCUUAACACAUGCAAGUCGAACGGAAAGGCCCUGCUUUUGUGGGGUGCUCGAGUGGCGAACGGGUGAGUAACACGUGAGUAACCUGCCCUUGACUUUGGGAUAACUUCAGGAAACUGGGGCUAAUACCGGAUAGGAGCUCCUGCUGCAUGGUGGGGGUUGGAAAGUUUCGGCGGUUGGGGAUGGACUCGCGGCUUAUCAGCUUGUUGGUGGGGUAGUGGCUUACCAAGGCUUUGACGGGUAGCCGGCCUGAGAGGGUGACCGGCCACAUUGGGACUGAGAUACGGCCCAGACUCCUACGGGAGGCAGCAGUGGGGAAUAUUGCACAAUGGGCGGAAGCCUGAUGCAGCAACGCCGCGUGCGGGAUGACGGCCUUCGGGUUGUAAACCGCUUUCGCCUGUGACGAAGCGUGAGUGACGGUAAUGGGUAAAGAAGCACCGGCUAACUACGUGCCAGCAGCCGCGGUGAUACGUAGGGUGCGAGCGUUGUCCGGAUUUAUUGGGCGUAAAGGGCUCGUAGGUGGUUGAUCGCGUCGGAAGUGUAAUCUUGGGGCUUAACCCUGAGCGUGCUUUCGAUACGGGUUGACUUGAGGAAGGUAGGGGAGAAUGGAAUUCCUGGUGGAGCGGUGGAAUGCGCAGAUAUCAGGAGGAACACCAGUGGCGAAGGCGGUUCUCUGGGCCUUUCCUGACGCUGAGGAGCGAAAGCGUGGGGAGCGAACAGGCUUAGAUACCCUGGUAGUCCACGCUGUAAACGGUGGGUACUAGGUGUGGGGUCCAUUCCACGGGUUCCGUGCCGUAGCUAACGCUUUAAGUACCCCGCCUGGGGAGUACGGCCGCAAGGCUAAAACUCAAAGGAAUUGACGGGGCCCCGCACAAGCGGCGGAGCAUGCGGAUUAAUUCGAUGCAACGCGUAGAACCUUACCUGGGUUUGACAUGGAUCGGGAGUGCUCAGAGAUGGGUGUGCCUCUUUUGGGGUCGGUUCACAGGUGGUGCAUGGCUGUCGUCAGCUCGUGUCGUGAGAUGUUGGGUUAAGUCCCGCAACGAGCGCAACCCUUGUUCACUGUUGCCAGCACGUUAUGGUGGGGACUCAGUGGAGACCGCCGGGGUCAACUCGGAGGAGGGUGGGGAUGACGUCAAGUCAUCAUGCCCCUUAUGUCCAGGGCUUCACGCAUGCUACAAUGGCUGGUACAGAGAGUGGCGAGCCUGUGAGGGUGAGCGAGUCUCGGAAAGCCGGUCUCAGUUCGGAUUGGGGUCUGCAACUCGACCUCAUGAAGUCGGAGUCGCUAGUAAUCGCAGAUCAGCAACGCUGCGGUGAAUACGUUCCCGGG